UACGAAGGGUGCAAGCGUUACUCGGAAUUACUGGGCGUAAAGCGUGCGUAGGUGGUUUGUUAAGUCUGUUGUGAAAGCCCCGGGCUCAACCUGGGAAUGGCAAUGGAUACUGGCAAGCUAGAGUGCGGUAGAGGGUAGUGGAAUUCCCGGUGUAGCGGUGAAAUGCGUAGAGAUCGGGAGGAACACCAGUGGCGAAGGCGGCUACCUGGACCAGCACUGACGCUAAGACUCGAAAGCAUGGGUAGCGAACGGG
RNAcentral lists this ribosomal RNA (253 nucleotides) under uncultured bacterium. RNAcentral describes it as "partial 16S ribosomal RNA". It matches the Rfam family "Bacterial small subunit ribosomal RNA", at positions 524 to 776 of the family's 1533-position model. The record is from RNAcentral.